RNAcentral lists this ribosomal RNA (626 nucleotides) under Escherichia coli. RNAcentral describes it as "partial 23S ribosomal RNA". It matches the Rfam family "Bacterial large subunit ribosomal RNA", at positions 518 to 1145 of the family's 2925-position model. Lineage: Bacteria; Pseudomonadati; Pseudomonadota; Gammaproteobacteria; Enterobacterales; Enterobacteriaceae. The record is from RNAcentral.
AAAGAACCCCGGCGAGGGGAGUGAAAAAGAACCUGAAACCGUGUACGUACAAGCAGUGGGAGCCUCUUUAUGGGGUGACUGCGUACCUUUUGUAUAAUGGGUCAGCGACUUAUAUUCUGUAGCAAGGUUAACCGAAUAGGGGAGCCGAAGGGAAACCGAGUCUUAACUGGGCGUUAAGUUGCAGGGUAUAGACCCGAAACCCGGUGAUCUAGCCAUGGGCAGGUUGAAGGUUGGGUAACACUAACUGGAGGACCGAACCGACUAAUGUUGAAAAAUUAGCGGAUGACUUGUGGCUGGGGGUGAAAGGCCAAUCAAACCGGGAGAUAGCUGGUUCUCCCCGAAAGCUAUUUAGGUAGCGCCUCGUGAAUUCAUCUCCGGGGGUAGAGCACUGUUUCGGCAAGGGGGUCAUCCCGACUUACCAACCCGAUGCAAACUGCGAAUACCGGAGAAUGUUAUCACGGGAGACACACGGCGGGUGCUAACGUCCGUCGUGAAGAGGGAAACAACCCAGACCGCCAGCUAAGGUCCCAAAGUCAUGGUUAAGUGGGAAACGAUGUGGGAAGGCCCAGACAGCCAGGAUGUUGGCUUAGAAGCAGCCAUCAUUUAAAGAAAGCGUAAUAGCUCAC